GGCCGCGGCCUAUCAGCUUGUUGGUGAGGUAAUGGCUCACCAAGGCGACGACGGGUAGCCGGCCUGAGAGGGCGACCGGCCACACUGGGACUGAGACACGGCCCAGACUCCUACGGGAGGCAGCAGUGGGGAAUAUUGCACAAUGGGCGAAAGCCUGAUGCAGCGACGCCGCGUGAGGGAUGAAGGCCUUCGGGUUGUAAACCUCUUUCAGUAGGGAAGAAGCGCAAGUGACGGUACCUACAGAAGAAGCACCGGCUAACUACGUGCCAGCAGCCGCGGUAAUACGUAGGGUGCGAGCGUUGUCCGGAAUUAUUGGGCGUAAAGAGCUUGUAGGCGGUUUGUCGCGUCUGCCGUGAAAAUCCGGGGCUCAACUCCGGACUUGCGGUGGGUACGGGCAGACUAGAGUGUGGUAGGGGAGACUGGAAUUCCUGGUGUAGCGGUGAAAUGCGCAGAUAUCAGGAGGAACACCGAUGGCGAAGGCAGGUCUCUG
Molecule: ribosomal RNA, 490 nt
Filed under: uncultured bacterium
Lineage: Bacteria
Description: bacterial SSU rRNA
Rfam family: Bacterial small subunit ribosomal RNA
Source: RNAcentral